This 894-nucleotide long non-coding RNA is filed under the name Rhipicephalus microplus (southern cattle tick). RNAcentral's name for it is "uncharacterized LOC119164340, transcript variant X1". The record is from RNAcentral. Lineage: Eukaryota; Metazoa; Arthropoda; Arachnida; Ixodida; Ixodidae.
AUCUGGCUUCAUCAAAACUGCACAGUAUAUGAGCAGAAGCCCGCGAGUCCGAGCGAAUCUCGACUCGGAUUCGACGAGCGGCGCCUGCCGUGACACCUGCAGCGGUCAAGCCAUCGGGAUCGCCAAACAUCCCCACGCUGAGUAAUCACGCACCGUGAGUUCCACGAUGGGUGGAGAGCCCGUGCAAAUCUUGCGCGUUAUUGGUGGCCAGAGAGUCGAAUUCAUGGAAAGCGAUCUCCAGCGCAUUCUCUUGGCCGAAGACGUGAAAGACAAGCCAGUCGUGGUGAUAUCGAUUGCCGGAUCAUAUCGACAAGGAAAGUCCUUUCUGCUAAGCUUCUUUUUGCGGUACCUGAGGAACAAUGAUCGAUCGAAAUGGAUGGAGGACACAGACGCCCCUUUACGUGGCUUUAAGUGGAGGGCAGGCUGUGAGCGCGAGACAACGGGCAUUAUGGUUUGGAACUGAAGUUUUCACGAUGACCGACUCGAAUGGCGAAGAGGUGGUGGUAUUGCUCAUGGACACCCAAGGGACCUUCGAUUCCAAGUCCACAACGAAAAGAGAGCAUGACCAUAUUCUCUCUCUCCAUGAUGACCAGCUCUGUGCAGAUUUACAACGUAAUGAACAACAUUCAGGAGGACCAUCUACAGAACCUUCAAUUUUUCGCUGAGUACGGCAGGCUUGCGCAGAAGGGCAAUGAAACAAGGCCUUUCCAGAAGCUCUUGUUUCUGGUGCGAGACUGGAACUGGCCGGACGACUACGAGUUUGGCUUCAGUGGUGGCAGAUCACUCGUCGAGAGUCGUCUGAACAUCACAGAAGAACAAGCUGCUGAGUUGAGGACGUUGCGGCAAAGCAUCUUGUCUUGCUUUUCGGAAAUUGAAGGAUUCCUGCUGCCCAGC